Molecule: long non-coding RNA, 1458 nt
Filed under: Felis catus (domestic cat)
Lineage: Eukaryota; Metazoa; Chordata; Mammalia; Carnivora; Felidae
Description: lncRNA (ENSFCAG00000044142.2)
Source: RNAcentral
CAAGGCCACAUAUCAGAACUUCCUCUCCUGAAAUACCUCCUUUGCUAUCCUAUAUAUCUAGACCCUCUGUGGCCUUCAGUACCUAGCUCAGGUCCCAUCUCAUCCCACCUCCUAAAGCCUUUCCUGUCCAGCCCAGUCCUCAGUGGACUCACUUUCCUCUGAAACUGACACCAUGUCCUACUGGUAUACCAUUUACUUGGCAUUUCCACAUAGACUGUCUUGCCAUUUAUUUAAUUCCCAUGUGACUAAUUUAAAAAAUCAUUCCACGUGCACAUGCCUUUCUGCGUCAUAUAGAUUGUAACAUGAGCAGUACUUUAAAAACUAUUUUCUCAGGUUGCAUUUUCAUUUUAGAUUAUUGUAAAUGUGUUGAGCACCUAACAAGGUUAACGCAAUGUACCUGGAGAUGAGUAAGAAAUUCUCUAAUCUCAAGGAACUUUCUGCUUUGUAAAGAAAAUAGUUUAGGUGCAUACAUUAUUGUUUUUAAAAGAACAAGUAAUAUAAAUGCCAAAGGUAUGAAACUUGAAAGGACAGAUCAUAUCAGGUUUGAGAAGAUUUGGGAGGCUUCUUAGAGGAAGCAGAUGAAAGAUCAGCCCUGAAGGUGAAGAUGUGGGUUUAUGAGCAUUGAAGGCCAAGGAAAACCAAAAGGAAAGAAAUAGUGCUCAGGGAAAAGGGCUCAUUAUGUCCUUUUUUGCAGUGUGGAGGCCCCACAGGCUGACUGCAGAUUACAGACUUUGUUUGACCAGUACAAUAUUUCUUUACCAAUUAUAAUCUGAAUGUCCUUAGGUAGUCACGCCUACUUUUCAUACUCUCUGUUGUUUUGCAACAGGCCUGCCUAGACUCUGAAGCUUUUGGAGUGAGGAGAUAACAGGAGGAUGCUGUCCAUUCCAGUCCAUUCCAGCUGGUCCCUGAUAUUGACGUGGGUGCUGUUUUGGCCUCAAUCCUGCCCUCUGCCUGUAUUCACUGAGUGGGAUUUCCCCACCAGAAACCUUCGCAUUCUCUGAGUCAUUUGGACUUGGACUUACUUGUCCAGAAGUUUUAGUUCCUGGAGAACUUGAGAAGGACUCCUUCUCCAGUUGUUGGACUUUAUUCCCCCUGCUGCUGCUCCACACCACCACAGCUUAUUCAGUCACUGGACAGUUCUUGGUGAAGAAUGAUACUCCUUAUUGCAGCGUGCCCCUUCGGCCUUGGCAAAGACCCAGCACAUUCUUCCACCUGAUGGUUUGAUGAAAAACCAAGGUUCAAUAAGAAGCCUUUGUCUUGGGGAAACUGAAUUUUCCUGCUGAGAUGGUAGACCAUACUUGGUUCUGUUUCCAGUUCGAAAUAGUGCCAUAUUUAUCAAACAACACUUUGAAGUAUCAUUUGAGAAAUUUAUGGGAUCUUCACUUUUCUUAUUUGUAAAUGAUGUAGUAUUUAAUAUGUCCAAAUGAAUUUAUACAAAUAAAUGCACAUUAUAAAGCA